GGGGCUUUUCUGAUUUUUUCUGUCUUCUAUAAGAUUCCAACAUAACUUUGUUUUUGCCAAAAGACAUCUACUUAUGAUUUUCACUCAACUGUAAAGGAGAAAAAUUGUAACUUGGAAAUCUAAAAAUUGAGUUCAACCCAUCAACUGUUUCCGGUGGAUUUGUCUCCUCCAAAGAGUACGAGCGGAGCUUGCAGCAGUAAGCCGGGCAGAGCUUACGGCAGGCCCUGCAAGCGUAGAAAAUGCCUCCGAGGAUCUUGAAGCUUAAAGGUGUUUCUUCAUCUAGAAAUGGUAAAGCCAAGAAUCUUGUUGUUGCAAAAAUGAUGAAAGCAAGUUGUGAGCAAUUUGCAGAAUCCGUACAAACCAUGGCUGGUGUUAUUGGGAACCAGAACAAGUCGCGGCCUAGUUAUGUUAUAGACUUAAAGAAUUCAAGAAAGUGGUUGGUGAGAGAGCGUUCCAUGGUACUGAAGAACCCGUAGAAGCUGAAAAAGGGUAUAAAAAAGGAGUUUGACGCACAUUUAGUUGCUGAGGAAGAUAGAGUAUGCUUUGCUACAUAUAUGUUUCAGGAUAAUGCAGACGAUUAGUGGAAGUAUGAAAAGCGAAUGGGAGACGAAACAAGUAUGUCAUGAGCGGAGUUCGAAAAGUUGUUUCUUAACAUGUAUUUCCCGCCUACAAUCAGAUCCAUGAAGUGUGCUGAGUUUGCUACUUCGAAGCAAGGGACCAUGACGGUUACUCAGUUAGACAACCUAUUUGGACAAGUCUUAUUUUAAUUUUUCUAAACCAACUCUGUCUUUACAUAUAUUUCCACAUUUGAGUUACUAGAAAUGUCAAUAGUCUUCUAAAUUUUCUAAUUUUGGACCUUACUAGAUUAGUCCCGAAAUGUUAUCUAGCUUACAUUUUGUCUAUCACUCUAUUUUUAUUUUCGAGUGACGUACUGGGAGUUUAGCCUUGCUGACGGA
This is a long non-coding RNA of Papaver somniferum (opium poppy), 956 nucleotides long. RefSeq lists it as uncharacterized. NCBI's taxonomy places the organism in Eukaryota, Viridiplantae, Streptophyta, Magnoliopsida, Ranunculales, Papaveraceae. The record is from RefSeq and is a predicted model, not a curated record. The transcript has 3 exons.